Rhododendron vialii is the source of this 2025-nucleotide long non-coding RNA. RefSeq lists it as uncharacterized. NCBI's taxonomy places the organism in Eukaryota, Viridiplantae, Streptophyta, Magnoliopsida, Ericales, Ericaceae. The transcript is spliced from 2 exons. The record is from RefSeq and is a predicted model, not a curated record.
ACUGGCGCUACAAUACAUAGGCUUCGACAAUCGACAUCCUCCCGCAGCCGCCGCCGCCGCCUCACCAACCCACGCCGCCGGCUUUGACGACCAGCUUUGAUUUGUGUUUAGAAUCAAUUAUUGUGUCAUCUUUUCUUGCAUCUUUUUGUCUUUGGUGAAGUUUAGAAUGUCUUAUUUACAACCUGAGUUUUGUCCUAUCUCCAUUUUCUCCUGUAUAUGGCGUACGGUAUUACAAAUUGAUGCAAGGGUAUAUGCCUCCCGCGUGUUCGACAAAUGGCUUCUAAUGCAAGCCGUUUUUCGGCCUCUGGUUUUUUUGAAGUCUUGAUUCGAUAAUAAACAGCACAAUUAGGAUCCAUAGCUUUGAACCCAUUCUUUCAUCUGAAGUUUUAUGGGCAGUUAAGCUUUGUAUGACUUGGAAAAUCACGGAUGAAUGAGAAAGUUUCGACACUUGAGUGGCUGUUGUUCAAUUCAUGUAAUAUGUUACUAGGAAUGAUGAAUGACUUCUACAUGGAAAUGUUAACCAAUUCGCAUUCACAGGUAGUUCUGCUACUAUACCCAUAGCCCGAAGAGGAUAUCUUUGUACGUUUUUUUUUUCAUCUUCAAAAUAGCAAAUAUGAUGUUGCGUGAUGGGCUAAAAGAUCACCAAUUUGUUUACCGCGACCUAGGGAGAGUACGGUGUAGUAGUCAUAAGGAGAGGGGAAAUGGAAGGGAGAUUUGAAGUGAAGAUCAGGAAUUCAGGAUUGGGCUUUGUUGUUGAGAUUAAGUUCACAUCUUAGAGAUUGCUCGCGUUGCAGUACAUUGAUAGUCUUUUUUAUCAAGUGAUGAUAGAAGUCGAAGAUAUAGUCUUAUUGUUGUAUCAUCUCCUGAUAUUUUUGACCCUAGCAUCUCAGGUUAUGGGUAUGUAUAUUGUUCCCAUUUCUCUCUACUUGGUACUUGGUAGGGAUUAUAUUUGGAGGUUUUGAUUUGUGUGUGUUCUAUUUUUGUUUCUUGGACCUAAGAUCUCGAGUUGUAAAGUUUUCUACUUUCGUUGGCCCAAUCGUGUCUUCAGAGUCCAUCUGGAGAGUUUUAUAGUCAUCUCGUCGUGUCCUUUAGGCGUGUCCAGAGCUUUUUUGUAAAUCUCUUUUUUGGGUGGUCAUGAAGUUAGUUACUUGUUUAUUUUUCUUUUCACUUGUGCAAGAUUGUAUUGAUGAGAUGAGGGGGAAGAUGGAAUUUCAUGAUGAUUUUGUAUCUCUGUUUCCUCUUUUCAGAGAUUGAUAAGGAUGUUGGAUGGAUUGAAUUUCAAGGAAUUUGUAAGCAUUCUUGUCCGCAUUUAGUUCUCGUGCAAGGCUACAUCAAAAAGACAAAUGUUUAUGAUUCUGAUGGCAAUGGAAAGGUUGCAUUGAUAUGUUGGAUGUUCAGCGGGAUUUGAACUUUUGAAGUGAAGAUCAUUGAGCAGGUUACUACAUUGGCCCCUAAUGUUCUGGCAAUGCACGAGCUGCAUUUUGCAGUCCUAAUGGCUGGAGCAGUUCUUUGCAUGCUAAUACACGCCAUGAUUCAGCAAUGUUGUCAAUCCUAUUGAGACAUUCCAAAGCUAAGGUCAUUUUAGUAGGUUACAAUCCUACGUGAAAUCAAGCCCAGAGCGCUUAAAUCACCAGGAACUUAAACAAACAAGGGUAGUCAAUAAAAGGUUUUAUAGUUUAAUUUUCCUGUUGCAUAACAGAGAACUACGUUUGGAGGAAACCCAAGUGCUAUACUUGGCAAAAUGACUAGCAUUACCAACUGAACAAACCUUAUCCGAGCUGGAUGCAUCUUCACGAUAACGGUUCGAAACUGUUGACUUACAGGUACAGGGUCAGUUGAGCUUUCCUAAAAUUCAGAACUGCUAGCUCUAUGCUGCCAGCCGUUAUUCAGUCCAAUGCCGACUGAUUGAUUUUGAAACUUAGGCCAACUUCUUUCACUUUUGCAUUUAAAUGCUUGUAGUUCUUGCAUAGUGUAUGUUUCAUUCUCAAACAUUUAGUUCUGUUAAGAAACUGUUUGUGUAGAACA